CCUACGGGAGGCAGCAGUGGGGAAUAUUGGGCAAUGGGCGCAAGCCUGACCCAGCAACGCCGCGUGAAGGAAGAAGGCUUUCGGGUUGUAAACUUCUUUUCUCAGGGACGAAGCAAGUGACGGUACCUGAGGAAUAAGCCACGGCUAACUACGUGCCAGCAGCCGCGGUAAUACGUAGGUGGCAAGCGUUAUCCGGAUUUACUGGGUGUAAAGGGCGUGUAGGCGGGAAAGCAAGUCAGAUGUGAAAACCAUGGGCUCAACCUGUGGACUGAAUUUGAAACUGUUUUUAUUGAGUAGUGGAGAGGCAGACGGAAUGCCUAGUGUAGCGGUGAAAUGCGUAGAUAUUAGGAGGAACACCAGUGGCGAAGGCGGUCUGCUGGCCAGCAACUGACGCUGAGGCGCGAAAGCGUGGGGAGCAAACAGGAUUAGAUACCCCGGUAGUC
RNAcentral lists this ribosomal RNA (443 nucleotides) under uncultured bacterium. RNAcentral describes it as "partial 16S ribosomal RNA". It matches the Rfam family "Bacterial small subunit ribosomal RNA", at positions 338 to 795 of the family's 1533-position model. The record is from RNAcentral.